RNAcentral lists this ribosomal RNA (469 nucleotides) under uncultured bacterium. RNAcentral's name for it is "partial 16S ribosomal RNA". It matches the Rfam family "Bacterial small subunit ribosomal RNA", at positions 28 to 507 of the family's 1533-position model. The record is from RNAcentral.
GAUGAACGCUGGCGGCGUGCUUAACACAUGCAAGUCGAACGGUGAACACGGAGCUUGCUCUGUGGGAUCAGUGGCGAACGGGUGAGUAACACGUGAGCAACCUGCCCCUGACUCUGGGAUAAGCGCUGGAAUCGGCGUCUAAUACUGGAUAUGUGACGUGACCGCAUGGUCUGCGUUUGGAAAGAUUUUUCGGUUGGGGAUGGGCUCGCGGCCUAUCAGCUUGUUGGUGAGGUAAUGGCUCACCAAGGCGUCGACGGGUAGCCGGCCUGAGAGGGUGACCGGCCACACUGGGAUUGAGACACGGCCCAGACUCCUACGGGAGGCAGCAGUGGGGAAUAUUGCACAAUGGGCGAAAGCCUGAUGCAGCAACGCCGCGUGAGGGAUGACGGCCUUCGGGUUGUAAACCUUUUUUAGCAGGGAAGAAGCGAAAGUGACGGUACCUGCAGAAAAAGCGCCGGCUAACUACGUG